UACGUAGGGUGCGAGCGUUAAUCGGAAUAACUGGGCGUAAAGGGCACGCAGGCGGUUAAUUAAGUUAGGUGUGAAAUCCCCGGGCUUAACCUGGGAAUGGCAUUUAAGACUGAUUAGCUGGAGUAUCGUAGAGGGGGGUAGAAUUCCACGUGUAGCGGUGAAAUGCGUAGAGAUGUGGAGGAAUACCGGUGGCGAAGGCGGCCCUCUGGACGAAUACUGACGCUGAGGUGCGAAAGCGUGGGGAGCAAACAGG
Molecule: ribosomal RNA, 253 nt
Filed under: uncultured bacterium
Lineage: Bacteria
Description: partial 16S ribosomal RNA
Rfam family: Bacterial small subunit ribosomal RNA
Source: RNAcentral